UUUGCUGACGAGUGGCGGACGGGUGAGUAAUGUCUGGGAAACUGCCUGAUGGAGGGGGAUAACUACUGGAAACGGUAGCUAAUACCGCAUAACGUCGCAAGACCAAAGAGGGGGACCUUCGGGCCUCUUGCCAUCGGAUGUGCCCAGAUGGGAUUAGCUAGUAGGUGGGGUAAAGGCUCACCUAGGCGACGAUCCCUAGCUGGUCUGAGAGGAUGACCAGCCACACUGGAACUGAGACACGGUCCAGACUCCUACGGGAGGCAGCAGUGGGGAAUAUUGCACAAUGGGCGCAAGCCUGAUGCAGCCAUGCCGCGUGUAUGAAGAAGGCCUUCGGGUUGUAAAGUACUUUCAGCGGGGAGGAAGGGAGUAAAGUUAAUACCUUUGCUCAUUGACGUUACCCGCAGAAGAAGCACCGGCUAACUCCGUGCCAGCAGCCGCGGUAAUACGGAGGGUGCAAGCGUUAAUCGGAAUUACUGGGCGUAAAGCGCACGCAGGCGGUUUGUUAAGUCAGAUGUGAAAUCCCCGGGCUCAACCUGGGAACUGCAUCUGAUACUGGCAAGCUUGAGUCUCGUAGAGGGGGGUAGAAUUCCAGGUGUAGCGGUGAAAUGCGUAGAGAUCUGGAGGAAUACCGGUGGCGAAGGCGGCCCCCUGGACGAA
Molecule: ribosomal RNA, 657 nt
Filed under: Escherichia coli
Lineage: Bacteria; Pseudomonadati; Pseudomonadota; Gammaproteobacteria; Enterobacterales; Enterobacteriaceae
Description: bacterial SSU rRNA
Rfam family: Bacterial small subunit ribosomal RNA
Source: RNAcentral